Long non-coding RNA from Ictalurus punctatus (channel catfish), 624 nucleotides. RefSeq lists it as uncharacterized. The record is from RefSeq and is a predicted model, not a curated record. Lineage: Eukaryota; Metazoa; Chordata; Actinopteri; Siluriformes; Ictaluridae. The transcript is spliced from 2 exons.
CUCUCUCUCUCUCUCUCUCUCUCUCUCUCUCUCUCUGCAGGGCAUCAGAGUUACAGAAUAAAGUGGCCACUCAGUGUCUGCAGCUGCAUGGUGGGUGGGGCUACAUGUGGGAAUAUCAAAUCGCCAAAGCCUUCGUGGACGCUCGUGUGCAGCCCAUCUACGGCGGAACCAACGAGAUCAUGAAGGAGCUGAUCGCUCGCAGCAUCGUCGGACACAGAUAGACGAGUGCUGAGCUGAGGGAUCGGACGGAUCACGGAGACACGGAGAGAAGAUAAUACACUCUCUUGGAGAUCAUGUGACACAAUUUUGAUCAUUUUAUUUCUUAUUUUUAUAGAAUAAAGUUUAUAGUGCAUGAUUUAAUAAGUAAAUAAUUACGAUAAAACUCAUUUGAAGGGUUAAAGUUGUUCACGUGGGUAGACAGAUUUUAAAAUUUUAAAUAGCAACAUUUUCGAUGUUCGAAUACUGAUGUGUGUAAUUUCUUUAUUAAAUCAUGACUGCACGCUUAAUUAACCCGGCUCUGAACACGCCUCUGAAGAGUGUGAAGUUGUGUGCGGUUUUAAUAACUGUUUCAGAGGAAAAUGUUUUUUCUCUUUUCUGUAGAAUAAAUCAAGUGCCUCUGCUGUA